ACUUCCUCGACAUGGUGCCAGGUGGUCAGUUUGGAGCCAUCUCCGAGCAAAUAUUCAGUUAGCAUUAGGUUAGACCUGGCAGUCUCGUUCAAAGUUGUGAAAAUAUACCUCUGCCACAGAAAUAUUGUUUGAAUCCUCUGUACUAUUGAUAUAGCACUUUACUCCAGUGAUUGUUUGACCAAUGAGAAUUUGGUUUGAUCAGAGCAUACUGACCGACCAACUGACCGGUUGAUGCUCCAGCUCCAGAGAAUAUGUUUGUGUAUCUUGCCUGAUUGGAUUUUGUGUAUUCCUGCUUUGGCUGGAAGCUUUGGGGGCCUUUAAGGACUCUUGUCUCAUGAUCUGCCCAUACAUCUGGCAUUUUUUUCAAAGACGGAAAAUCACCAGGGGACAUUUGUUUCAACAAGGGUGUCCCCUGCCUUCGCCCGAGUCAGCUGGGAUAGGCUCCAGCCCCCCCCCGCGACCCUAGUGAGGAUUAAGCGGUGUAUAGAUAAUGGAUGGAUGGAUGGAUGGAUGGAUUAUCUUCUCCUUCCACAGCUUAAUGCUGUGGAUUGUGGCAGUGCUCUCUCCUCCUCCGGCCCUGCUCUCUCUCCUCCAGGUGUGCGCUGCACAGAGGCCGGUGACAGGUGUGGCGUAUUGGCAAUCAGCUGAUUGUGCGCAGGUGGAAGCCAGAGGAUUACCGACUCCAUUCGUCGGUUGAUGCCGGACUGUCCUCGACCUUACAAAGCUGACUUUCACCUGCUUGUGGUCACCUGGCUCUGCUGGUUCCAUCAUCGUCUGCCUGGCCUCCGUUCUCUAGUGGAUUCCAUUCAGCCGUGGAGACUCCCCUGCCACCAGCCUUCCCCUCCUGGAGAACACCUACCGAGCCCUGGAACACUCCGUGCCUCCCUAAGACGUAUAACCACCUGCCCAAGCCUCCGGACGCCAUUCUCCAUCCUGGCCGUUCGAACCGGGGACUUCGUCUAAGGAUUGGAUGGAGUCUGCACCCCUCCCUAGUAGAACUACUUCCUGUUUAGUCAGCUAAGUUCUUAGCCCUAACGACACCAGACUGUUUUGUCUUGCUAUGUAUUUCGUAUUAGUGGGUUUUCAUAGUUACUCGUAGUUGUAGUCUGGGCUUUUAGUGGAGGUUAUUGCAGACUAGGUUCUUGGUUUUUUUUGGAUAGUUUAUUUCAGUUGUAUUCCUGCCCUGGUGUUACCAGUAUUGGGUUUACUUAGUUUCUGUUUUUUAGGAUUUGUAAUUGCCCUCCGAGCCACUAGAGGCUGUCUUGAUCUGUUUGUUCCCAUAGAGUAGGUUACACUUCUGGUUCCGGAAUUCAGUUCCUAGUUGGGAUUUGUAGUCCUUGAGUUUUUUGUGUGUAAAAGCUUUUUGUAAAUCGUGCAACUGCUUUCAUUGUUACUUUCAUUUCCUGCAUCUGAGCCUCUACACCUGCCGUAACAUUUUAUUCUUUUGUAUUAUUUUCGACAUUGUAGAUUCAUACUGAAGAUUAACAUUUUUUGUUUACAACAUAAUUCCAUAUAUAUUUGUAUGUGUACUUUUAUAGUUUUGAUGUAUUCAGUAUUAAUUUACAAUGUAUAAAAUAAUUAAAGAAAAACCAUUGAAUGAGAAGGUGUGUCCAAACUUUAUUCAAUCAACUCCUAACAUUAUCAUUGCUUUAAAGUCCCAUUUUUAGUUAAUCCAUGAUUUUAGUUCAAUAUUUGGUCUUUUUUUUUUUUUUUUUUAAUCUCUGCUUUGGUCUCCACCAACAUUCAAGAGAAAUAACUAAAUUUAGCUGCUAAAUGCAAUGUUAGCAAACCUGUUCCCCAAGUUUUAACUGUGAACCCAAACAAUAGUGAGCUAAAAAUCAAAACAAAGGGCUCAAAGAUGCUAAAAUACCCUGUAAAACUGAACGCAGCAAAGUCAGGGAAUGAUUGUGUAGAGACAUUACUACCAGCUAAGGUAUUCAUACUAUAUAAUGUAUUGUUAUGAAAUCAUAUUAAAACAAUGAUUAGAGCAGCUGUAACGAC
This is a long non-coding RNA of Amphiprion ocellaris (clown anemonefish), 2001 nucleotides long. The record is from Ensembl. Lineage: Eukaryota; Metazoa; Chordata; Actinopteri; Pomacentridae.